GUGAGUCCAAGGAGAAACCCUAAAUUCUCCAUGAGACCUCGAUUCAGAAAGACCUGGGCCUGGCGUGGUUGAAUCAAAGGGAUUAAAAAAAAGAGAGAUCUUAAAGACAACACACAGUAGCAAAGCGAACACGGACAAGAUGCGUCUUUUGAACAGGGAGCUCUGUUGUUGGAAGCCAGCGUCUCGGUUUUCUGUCUUGGAUUCCCCUGGGAGCCGAAGGCAGCGAGUGGGCAAGACCGCAGUGCUCAAGUCUGGGGCUGCUUUCUGGGUGAGGUAUCAGGACAGCCCUGUGCAGUGGUGCACCAUGGCCCCCCCAGGCCCCCUCCUCGGGUGGAAAUCGGUACAGUAUUAGAUGGCUGUUGGGUCAAGGCACUGUCGUGUACGGCCGGAGGCAGUGGGUCACUGGCAGUGGAGCUCCGUGGCACUAAUACAUCACAGCAGACGCCAGACUGGGCUCCUACGGCGAGACAAUGAGCUCAUGGUCAUCAGCCACUUGGCAAGAGCAAGAAAAGGCAAUUAAAAACGUCUCCUGCUUUUUUUCUUUUUAAAUAGGCUUCGCACCCAACAUGGAGCCCAAUGCAGGGCUUGAACUCAAGACGCUGAGAUCAAGACCUGAGCUGAGAUCAAGAGCUGGAUGCUUAGCCGACUGAGCCACCCAGGGGCAGCUGCUGGCUUUUCUCAGGAGCACAACAAGUAAUUCAGGGCUAAUAAGAGAUUUAAGGAAGAGUGAAUUUGGAUCAAAAACAGGAGAAAGACUCUGGCACCUCAACCAGACCUUAACGUUCCCAUGUACGUAUUUUUACUUCUCUCGGAUCAAACCCCACAAGGAGCUGGAUGUACGGUUGAGAGGACGUAGCCACAUAUCAAAGAGGUGAGCGGUACCGGGCACGGUGCUCAUCACUUCUCACUGCACCCCGCCCCCGCCCGUCUCCCCAGCCAACGGACCAUGAAACCAUCCACGGAGGAUGCUUCCUGGGGCUCUGACGGGGGAGCUGUAGACGGAAGGGCUACAGACUGGAGGCACCAUCGGCAGUGGAAGCGACGGGCACUGAGACAGGGCUGACUUACCAUCAAAUCCUUGGUGGUGCUUUUCCUUUCGUUAGUCCUGUUUGUCAAGGAGCCUUGGAGAAGGAAGUUGCGGUUAAAUGUUUUAAUGGUGGUCACUGAAGACGCCUCGAUGUUUUCGGCUAAAAGGAAACACAUGGAAAUCUAAAUUUCUGGUUUGGCAUCAUUGUAAGCGGCUCCUAAAUCCAGGGAAAGCGUUCAAAAUGCCCAGUGGAUGAGGAUGCCACCCCGGCAUUGCUGGACUCCCUUCUGGGCGGGGUGCUGUGUUAGAUGCCUUCGGUGUCCUGCCCACGUUUCCCUGACAUCACCACACAUUCUGUCAUUCAGCACAUUCCGGAAGCAUGUGACCCCAAGCACCGUCACUCCCUUGGCUCAUGCACGGGGUGGGGCAGAAGUACCAGGGAGCUAAUGCCUCCCCACCCCACCGGAAACUUCAGGGGCUGAGGGCUGACAGCUGAUACCCUCAUCUUCCUGUUCUUUGGGCAGAAAACUCAGGUGCAGUCAAUACUGUCUCCCAGGAAGUCCCCAGCAGGAUUCAGCCUCAUUUGCCCAGAGAAGUAAGCUAUGAACUAAAUUGCACUGUACCGGGGUGCCUGGGUGGCUCAGUCUGACUCCCGAUUUCAGCUCUGGUCAUGAUCUCGCGGUUCAUGAGUUCGAGCCCUGCAUCGGGCUCUGUGCUGACAGUGCGGAGCCUGC
This is a long non-coding RNA of Prionailurus viverrinus (fishing cat), 1761 nucleotides long. RefSeq lists it as uncharacterized. Lineage: Eukaryota; Metazoa; Chordata; Mammalia; Carnivora; Felidae. The transcript has 4 exons. The record is from RefSeq and is a predicted model, not a curated record.